GUUGGUGAGGUAACGGCUCACCAAGGCGACGAUGGGUAGCCGACCUGAGAGGGUGAUCGGCCACACUGGAACUGAGACACGGUCCAGACUCCUACGGGAGGCAGCAGUGGGGAAUAUUGGGCAAUGGGCGAAAGCCUGACCCAGCAACGCCGCGUGAGGGAAGAAGGUCUUCGGAUUGUAAACCUCUGUCCUUGGGGACGAAGGAAGUGACGGUACCCAAGGAGGAAGCUCCGGCUAACUACGUGCCAGCAGCCGCGGUAAUACGUAGGGAGCGAGCGUUGUCCGGAAUUACUGGGCGUAAAGGGUGCGUAGGCGGCGUGGCAAGUCAGAUGUGAAAUCCCCGGGCUUAACUCGGGAGUUGCAUUUGAAACUGCCAUGCUUGAGUGCAGGAGAGGAAAGCGGAAUUCCUAGUGUAGCGGUGAAAUGCGUAGAUAUUAGGAGGAACACCAGUGGCGAAGGCGGCUUUCUGGACUGUAACUGACGCUGAGGCACGAAAGCGUGGGGAGCAAACAGGAUUAGAUACCCUGGUAGUCCACGCUGUAAACGAUGGAUACUAGGUGUGGGGGAGAUACAACCUCCGUGCCGCAGCAAACGC
This 595-nucleotide ribosomal RNA is filed under the name uncultured bacterium. Its description in RNAcentral is "bacterial SSU rRNA". It matches the Rfam family "Bacterial small subunit ribosomal RNA", at positions 248 to 858 of the family's 1533-position model. The record is from RNAcentral.